UACGUAGGGACCGAGCGUUGUCCGGAAUCAUUGGGCGUAAAGAGCGUGUAGGCGGCCACUUAAGUCCUGCGUGAAAUCCUGCGGCUCAACCGCAGGCGGUCGUGGGAAACUGGGUGGCUAGAGUGCGGGAGAGGAGAGUGGAAUUCCUGGUGUAGCGGUGGAAUGCGCAGAUAUCAGGAAGAACACCCGUGGCGAAGGCGGCUCUCUGGAACGCAACUGACGCUGAGGCGCGAAAGCUAGGGGAGCAAACGGG
Molecule: ribosomal RNA, 253 nt
Filed under: uncultured bacterium
Lineage: Bacteria
Description: partial 16S ribosomal RNA
Rfam family: Bacterial small subunit ribosomal RNA
Source: RNAcentral